CCCUGGCACCUGUGGGGACAUUCUGGGCACCCCUGGGGACAUUCUGGGCACCUGUGGGUCCUCAGCACCCACUGGGAUGGUCAGACCCUGUCCCCAGGUGACCCCAUGUCCUAUCCCUGUCCCUGAGUGUCCCCUCCAUGUGUCCCUGUCCCCAGGUGACCCCGUGUCCUGUGUGUGACCCUGUCCAAGUGACCCCAUGUCCCCUCCGUGUCCUCACAUGACCCCUGUCCUGUCCCUGUGUCCCUGUCCCUGGGUGACCCUGUGACCCCAGGUGGCCCCUUGUCCCCUCCAUGUCCCCAGGUGACCCCGUGUCCUGUCCCUUUGUGUCCCCAAGUGACCCCAUCUCCUGUCCGUGUGUCCCUGUCCCCAGGUGACCCCGUGUCCUGUCCCUGUCCCCAAGUGUCCCCUCCAUGACCCUGUCCCCAGGUGACCCUGUGUCCCCUCCAUGACACUGUCCCUGAGUGUCCCCUCCAUGACCCUGUCCCCCGGUGACCCCAUGUCCUGUCCCUGUCCCCGAGUGUCCCCUCUGUGACCCUGUCCCCAGGUGACCCUGUGUGACACUGUCCCCAGGUGUCCCCUCCUUGUGUCCCUGUCCCCAGAUGACCCCACGUCCUGUGUGUCCCUGUCCCCAGGUGACCCCGUGCCCUGUCCCUGUCCCUGAGUGUCCCCUCCAUGUGUCCCUGUCCCCAGGUGACCCUGUGUGACACUGUCCCUGAGUGUCCCCUCCGUGUGUCCCUGUCCCCAGGUGACCCUGUGUCCCCUCCGUGUGUCCCUGUCCCCUGGUGACCCCGUGCCCUGUCCCUGUCCCCAGGUGACCCCGUGCCCUGUCCCUAUCCCCAGGUGACUCCUCUGUCCCUGUCCCCAGGUGACCCCAUGUCCUGUCCCUGUCCCCAGGUGUUCCCUCUGUGUGUCCCUGUCCCCAGGUGACCCU
Myiozetetes cayanensis is the source of this 931-nucleotide long non-coding RNA. RefSeq lists it as uncharacterized. Lineage: Eukaryota; Metazoa; Chordata; Aves; Passeriformes; Tyrannidae. The record is from RefSeq and is a predicted model, not a curated record. The transcript is spliced from 3 exons.